Meleagris gallopavo (turkey) is the source of this 7244-nucleotide non-coding RNA. Lineage: Eukaryota; Metazoa; Chordata; Aves; Galliformes; Phasianidae. The record is from RefSeq and is a predicted model, not a curated record.
CUCAGCUAAACCUUGCCUUGGUGCAGAGUAUCACUGAGGUCAGCUGCGCCAUCCAGGCUGUGGGUGAUUGCCCCAGCUUUGGGCUCUUCUCAAAGCAGGAGGCACUGAGGACACUGCUGCCAGCAAAGUGAAGACAUCUCUGAGCAGGAAGGAAAAUCGUACCUACUGUCUGAGUGCUGCCAAAGUAUCUUUUCCCAUCUAUUCAUUGAAGGCAUAAAAGCAAGAUGGAGGCCAAUGAGGGCAGCCGUGAACAUCAAGGAGAUGUUGUUUGGUGGCACAUCAAUGCUCAGCUGCUUUCUUUAAAAAUCGCAAGAAUGCUUUUUGUCCAAUGAUGAAGACGUCAUUUUUAUCAGAUGCCUGUGAGAGAAGAGCCGAGCUUAAUGCAUGGCAAUAAAAAGAGGAAUAUGAGAAUUUCUGCUCCCUUUGGUUUUAGCUUUAGUUAAGAUGUAUGAAUGCACAUGAAUGGUCCCAUCAGGAUCUCUGGGGGUACUGUCAUACAGGAUCUAACAUGUUAUUGCUUCUGACCACAAUAGCCGCUGUUCAGGAAGAAGGAAAAAGAUACAACCAUCCCACAGUCAAAGAGAAAUCUUUCUGAAUUUCAUGCCCUGGAAGUCUGAAAUGAACUCUGCUGUGAAAAUAUUGUGCUUAUCGUCUCCAGUCAGGGAUGAAUGACUGCACACUCCUUAAACCUGCAGUUGGAAAACCAAAAUAAAUCAUUGCUGCAUAUCAGAUCUUGCACCUUUUACUCAUGGAAAGGAUUCUGCUUAACUCAUACAAAUAAAGAUGACAUGACCAAGUGUGACAUCCUUUAUGGGAUGUACGCUUAUCAGAAAAAAUACUCUGUCAUUUCCAUCCUCUGAAUCAAUUAUUUACCAAAAGAGACUGGAAGUUUCUUUGCAUUACUCUAAAAGAUAAGCUAACUGAUAAAAAUAAGCCAACUGGAGAAUUUAUUUAAAUCAUCUUCAUUAGUCUAUAUCAGAUCUGGAUGCUACUACAAUGGACAAGUUCAUUUGGCAGAAGCAAAAAUCUUAGAACAUGCUUAUGGCAUAGAUCUCAAAUUUUUCCUGUUAUUUACAUUUCCUGACAAAUAAGUGGAAAUUAUUCAAAAGCACUGGAAUGAGUUUAAUCAUUGUAUGUUUGUCAUCUGAAAUUGGAGACGAAUGAUGACCGUUUGUAGUGCACCAAAAGGGAAUAUCCCACACUUUGCAAUGGAACUCCCUGUGGUCCUCGUUCAUGAGUUACAGCAUAUCAGAACAAGAAAGUGGUCUGUUUGAUCCAGCGAAUGUUAGCAAGACCUUUACGUGUCUGAAGUGCAACAGACGAUCCUCCAAGGGGAGCACACUGACUGGCAGCAGUUCAUUAGAGCAGCUUGGAAACUCAUCAGCAAUUACACAGAGUGCUUUGCAGGGGGAACCUCUCUCAUCCUCAUGUUCUGUGCAAAAUGAGACACCAUUUUGGGUGUCACUUAAGAAAAAAGAUAGAAGAGUAAUUAGCACCAAGAAGAAACAAGCUAGGGCACAUAACUGUAAAACUGCUCAUCCACAGCCAAGUGUUCCACAGAAAUAUCGCUUAUGAAAAAGAAGAGUUAAAAGUGUCCUUCAGACUUGUAGAGCUGGGAGGUAUGCAGAUACGCAGAAUCUCCAGGAAAAACAACAAAAGACAUGAUUACUGAAUGAUAACCUUCUUCCUUUGGGAAAUGGAGCCACUACAGUGACUUUGAAGGGCCAACUUGAAAUGUUGCAGCUCUGCAGUGUGGAGUAAGGUCUGGGGCUGCAGUGAGGAUUAGAGCACAGCAGAGCUGUUCCUGGCUCUGCAGUGAGGUGCUCCUGCAGAUAUGGCGGCAGUUUUGUGCUCGGUUUGUCUUCUUGCACAUCUUCUUACAGAAGAAGCCGUUGGGAGAACGAUGGGAAUGGCAGACAUUACUGUACAUCUUCCUGAUGAGGAAAAAAGAAAGGAGGUGUUUGUAACUGUUGGUGAAUAACGCUCUGACGGCAUCAUAGACCGCCUGCUUGACUCUGCAGUGCAGGAGAAACACAGCACAGCACUUUUACUUUGGUUCCAAUGAAUUUUCAGCACACCAGAGAAGAGCAUGGGGCUGGCAGGUAGAGCAAGUAGAGUGUAGGGGGGUGUAUGCUGGCUUUAUGCCAUUCUACGACAAAUAGCACAGAGAGGGUCACUGUGGGACUGAGUGGGACUGCUCACCCACACAGGCUGGUACAAAGGGUGUAAGAAAAGAAAAUGGGAAUGAGUGCCCUCAGCUGCAGGAGCACAGGCAGCAGAGGGCUCCAGGCCCUGUGGGACUCCGGAUGGCUCCUGGCUCUCAGCCCUGCACGAGGUGUCCCUUCACCACGGCUCUAUGCCAGGGCAGGAUUGCAUGGCCCCUUUGGAGCUGGGCUCUGUGGGAUGGGGCAGCUGGGACCACCUGCCACCUCCCUCUGCUGCCAUGGUGGGAGCUGCAGCACCCCAAUCUGUCACCGGGUUGCCCCCAGCGUAGCAGUCUGAGGAGAGGGUUGAAGUGCAGCUGGGUGUGGUUUGGGGAAAGUCAGCUUCUGAGGGAAGCUGCCAGGGGGUUCUAUCUGCAGACUGAAGCAGGUACAGUACAGGGACAGAGACAGCACCGGGACAGAGGUAACACAGGGACAGGACUGGGACAGGGGCGGGAAAGAACAGGAAAGGGACAGGCAGAGACAGGGGCAGUAUAGGGAAAAGUGUAGGUGUAGGGAUGGAGACAGGAUAGGGAUGGGGAAGAAAAGGUGUAGGAGCAGGGACAGUACAAGGACAGUACAAGCAGCUGUGAAGUGGUAUGGAGGUGCUGUGGGUACGCAGGGAGGGCAGGGUGUUAAGGGUGUCUGGGAGUGCAAGAGCUCAUAGAGGGGACAGAAGAGGACUGCUGCCAGUGCUCAGGGAUCUGUAGGGCUGUGGGUGUGGGGUGCUGGGUCUGUUUGUCCCAUUGUUGAGGAAUAGGGAACUGCAGGAACGGAGCAUCUGCAGGUGCUGCUAUCCCUGCAGAGCAGGGACACAUUGCAGCGUGCCUCCCAUAGCACCACCCAGUCCCAGGACAUGGCUGUCCUACAGGCACUGACCUGUAGGAACAACUGUAACAGUCACAGGUACAGCUGUUGAUAUACACACUUCAUGUGUUGCCUUAAUGCAGAUUUUAUCAUUCCCCGUCUUACCUCCAUGGUCAACACCAGCAGGAAAGUGGGUUUAACACUCAAUGAGGCCAAUCUCAGAAUCAGGAGCCAGGGGAAGUUGCAGAUGUGCUUCUUUAUCCUCUGCAUGGAAAUAGCUCCCAAGAGGGUUUUCUCCAUCCCCUUCCUAGCAAUGGAGGUGAUGCAGUUCCUGAUCACAGAGGCACUUGGGGACACUGAUUCAUGUGCUGUACCCCACUGCUCCAUCUCCAGUGCUGGAGCUGUACCCAUGUGCAUCAGGAGCCCCCUGGGUGCCUGGCCCCUUUCUGGCUCAGGGUGCUUUGUGUCCUCCCAGUGGCAUCGCUUCUGCCUCAGUUUCCUCAUCAGACCCCAUCUGACAGGGGAGACCCCAGUACACAGGGAUGGGGUGAGGAUGUGAGCUUGUUGUUGGUAUGACUCGUCUUUUAGGAGCAUCUUGAAAAUUAGCUUAUCUAUCUAGCCUGUCAAAAGGGAGAUUAACCCAAUGGUUAACUAACCAAAUGUGUUUGAAUGGGAGAGGGGGGGUCAAGACGUCAUGGCCUCUGCAGACCUCUCUCCAAACAUGUAGACAUAGUGCACCCAAAUGUACAUAAGGAAUGUGCCUUUGUUCUAUUAGUGUGCACGAUUAGGUGGAAGGAUUCCCUAUUCAUCCAUGACAAAUUAAAAAAUGCCUGCUUCUUAAUAUCACAUUGGUUUUAAGGAGUUUAAUUUGGGCUGGAGUUUGUCUGGCAACAGUUUUGGUGACCCAGGUGGGACAUCACUUCUGAGCUUCAGCAGAUUCCGGGGUCGCAGGAGCCCCAUCAGGCACUGAGGAGAUUUUCGGGGAGAGCCUCUGAUCUCUGAGUUGAAAAGCUGAAGGUGUUUUUAGGGGUUCACAAGGAGAUUCCCUCUGGAGUGCUUGUUGAAGCACUGGAAAGAGAUAGGAGAGGAUCCAUAUACCAAAAGACAGCUGGGGGAAUACUGCAGUCAUUGUUGGUCCCUGUACAUUUUGGAGGAUUUGGAUGGACUAGAAGCAAAAGAUUUAAGCAUGUUAAUGAAUGGAGCAUGGAAGUUGUAUAAUAACUGGGAGAGAGAGCAGAGACCAGACAGGCCUACUGAGAAGGAAGGAUGAUCACGGCCUCGAUUCAGGCUCAGGGAGGACCCAGAGAGGGAGAGGGAGGGGCUGGGGUGGUUCACCUCCCUUGAAAAAUACAUAUAGGCAAGACAGUGCUGGAGAUGCCAUGGCACUGCUCACUGACAGAGAAUGCCCACUCACCAAAGUCUCAAUCCCUCCAGCAGCAGUUGUGCCCCGUAGUGAGCAAUGAGAAGGACGGGAAAUCAUUCCCAGCUGAACCCCUGGUUACUAUACACCUGGGAAACAGAAAAGUGGACUUUCUGGUGGACACCAAAGCCACAUGUUCAGUUUUAAAUACAUAUAGAGGUAAUUUUAGUAGUAAAACUGUAAAUACUGUUUAUGUGCUGACACACAGGGCAAGAGAACCGCCCAUUUUCACAACCUUUGAAAUUCAGAUUAGGGAAACAAAGGCUAAGGCAUUAAUUCUUAGACAUGCCAGACUGCCCUGUCCAUCAGUUAGGGAGGACUUGUGGAGUAAGUUAGGGGCACAAAUGAGCUUCAAGGUCAGAGAAGUUCUAUUCCAGCUCCCCGAAUGCAAAGCAGAAGAGAUAAGAGCCUUGUUGCUGAUGAAUUCCUACCACAGGCAGAGGAAAUACAAAGGAAGUGGAGGAUGCAGUAGUGCCUCUGAAUUGGGGCAGUGAGGUCCCAGGAUGCUCAAAACAAGCUAUUCCAGUGAAGAUACUCUUGAAAUCAGAGGUUAAACCAGUUACACAGAGCCCAAUGAAACUAGAGGCCAGGCAAGGGCUUUCAGAACUGACAUCAAAUUUUGUGAAACUUGGUCUACUAGUGGAAUGUAAAUCUGAGUACAACACAUUUAUACUAGUGGUUAAGGAUCCACAUGGGAAAGAGUACAGGUUGUGCAGGAUCUGAGAGCAGCUAAUCAGAUCACAGAGGAUAUACAUCCAGCAGUGGCAAACCCCAAACUCUGUUAAUGGCUUUGAAAGAGCAACACAGAUGGUUUAUAGUGUUAGAUGUCAAGGAUGAUUUAUUCUGUAUACCUCUGAAUGUGGAAAGUGAGGCAACUUUCACAGUAGAAUGGGAAAAUCCAGAGACCAAUUAAGACUCAACUCACAUGGACAGUUCUGCCACAAGGUUUUAAGAAUAGCCCAAGUACGUUCAGGAACCAAUUAACCAAGAGGUGGAGGUAUGAAAAGAGAGACCCUGCAAGGAGGGCUUGGUGUUACUGCAAGAUGGGGGUUGCACAGUCCUGGCUGCAGGCACCAGUGAGGAAUGCAUGUGCAUGACAGUCAGUUUACUAAAUCUGGGGCUCAAGAUUUUGCAGAGACAGCAAUUGUUAGGGAUGGAUGGGAAGGAGGAGAUCUGCUUGACUCUGGAACCUUCAACUUUCAGAGAGCUUACAGUCUUCCUCUGGAUGACAGGUUGGUACAGACUGUGGAUCCCAAACUGCAGACUCCCAGUAAGACCUCUCUUUGAAACUCUAAUAAGCCUGGGGGAGAAACAUUUGGUAACCCAAGAGACAGAAAGCCUUUAAGGAGUUAAAGAUAGCAUUAAUGUCAGCCCCCUGCUCCAGGGGUACCAGACUUACCCAAAGCUUUUGAGCCAUUUGUUCAUAAAAGACAGCAUCCAGCACUGGGUGUACAGUUAUGUCCCUGGAAAAGAGUGGGGGGCACUUCCGUAAACAGCCAGAUAAUAUCAGCAAAGGAUGGCCUGCAUUUCUGAGAGUGCAGCAGCGAUGGUCCUGCUGAUACAGGAAGUCCAAAUGUUGGUCUUGGGCAGAGGCUGUAUGUACCACAUAUGGUUAUCUCAGGGCUGGAUAAAUAAGGGGGGGAAUUAGUCAUAACAAUGUGGAGCUUAAAAGCACAAUGGCAACUAAUCUGGCCAAGGUUCUCAUCCUGGAAGGUGAGGGAAACGCGGACUUGAAUGAUGACUAUUUGCAGAACACUGAACAAGAAUAUUCCAGCUGCCAGGAUCUGAAGGACAAGCACCUCUCCGAACCAGAUAUAACAUUGCUCACUGCCGGCAGUAGAUUUGUCCAAGAGGGACAGCAGAAGGUGAUGAGUUUACAAUAGGUACAACCACCAAAGUGGUGGAAGCAAAAGCCCUGGAAGCCAACACUUCAGCUCAAAGGUGGAGCUGAUAGCACUGACAUGGUGCUGCAGGUCAAAGAGGCUUAUGGUUUGUUAUAUUGAUCUCAAUCCCUCCAAAUUAAGAGUCAGAACAAAGUCAAGCUGUUGACUGAGCAAGGGUGUGUUUUAUUUUCUUCUUAAAAGGUGGGCAAGUGAGGGAGUAAAAGGAAAAGAGAAGAAGAGGAGAGAGAAAAAAAAGGAAAGAAAAGCAAGUCACCACUGCAGAUCACAUGAUGUCCUGAGGGUCCGUCUUCCUGCUUCUCUUUCUAGGGUGGUCAGGAUGUGGUGGGGCUAGCACUGCUGGCUGUGGGGCUGGCUUUGCCUGUGAUGGUUCCUUCCAAUUGGGCCAGGACCUGCUGCCAGGCAGAGAAUGCCCAGUGCCACACACUGCCACGAGCUGCACCACUGUGCUUCUCCCUUCUAUGGUGGUUGUGUCUGGGGAGAGGGAGACCCAACACCACCAACAGCAGGACAGCUCACCUCUGGCUUCUGUCAUGCUUUCGUACAACGUGUAUUUUUGUUCUGCAGCUCUCACAAAAGUGUGACAGUUAAGGUUUUGUUCUGAGGCCUUCACAGAACUGUUACGGCUGUUUUUAGUCACCAGUUAGCUGCAAGUCCAUCUCUUAACCAAUCAGGAGGGUGAGAAAUCACUAUGUUACAGUUCCAUAUGGUGUCAUAGAGCCUGUGCCAGAAAGCAAAACGUCACUUCAUUCCCACAACUUCCUUUAUGCCUUCCCCUUCCCAUGUCCCUUUACCCCUUCCCUUCCCCUUUCCUUCUGUUUCCUCUUCCACUGCCUCCUUCUCUACCCACUCCCACCUUCACCUUUCCCUUUCCCCUUUCACUUGCCUUUCCCAUUCCCCUUCUACCUUCUG